Molecule: non-coding RNA, 100 nt
Filed under: Photobacterium carnosum
Lineage: Bacteria; Pseudomonadati; Pseudomonadota; Gammaproteobacteria; Vibrionales; Vibrionaceae
Description: traJ-II RNA
Rfam family: traJ-II RNA
Source: RNAcentral
GGCAGGAUAGGUGAAGUACAUGUACCACGCAAGCGGGUAUCAUGUUCUUCACUUUUACCUUAUUCACACUACGUGCUCAACGUCUCCUGCUCUGCGAGGC